RNAcentral lists this ribosomal RNA (253 nucleotides) under uncultured bacterium. RNAcentral's name for it is "partial 16S ribosomal RNA". It matches the Rfam family "Bacterial small subunit ribosomal RNA", at positions 524 to 776 of the family's 1533-position model. The record is from RNAcentral.
UACAGAGGGUGCGAGCGUUAAUCGGAAUUACUGGGCGUAAAGCGCACGUAGGUGGUUUAGUAAGUCGGAUGUGAAAUCCCCGGGCUUAACCUGGGAACUGCAUUCGAAACUGCUUUACUAGAGUAUGGGAGAGGACAGUGGAAUUUCAGGUGUAGCGGUGAAAUGCGUAGAUAUCUGAAGGAACAUCAGUGGCGAAAGCGACUGUCUGGACCAAUACUGACGCUCAUGUGCGAAAGCGUGGGGAGCAAACAGG